GAUGAACGCUGGCGGCGUGCCUAAUACAUGCAAGUCGAGCGAACAGAUGAGGCGCUUGCUCCUCUGACGUUAGCGGCGGACGGGUGAGUACCACGUGGAUAACCUACCUUUAAGACUGGGAUAACUUCGGGAAACCGGAGCUAAUACCGGAUAAUAUAUUGAACCGCAUGGUUCAAUAGUGAACGACCUUUUUGCUGUCACUUAUAGAUGUAUCCGGGCCGCAUUAGCUAGUUGGUACGGUAACGGCUUACCAAGGCAACGAUGCGUAGCCGACCUGAGAGGAUGAUCGGCCACACUGGAACUGAGACACGGUCCAGACUCCUACGGGAGGCAGCAGUGGGGAAUCUUCAGCAAUGGGCGAAAGCCUGACGGAGCAACGACGCGUGAGUGAUGAAGGUCUUCGGAUCGUAAAACUCUGUUAUUAGGGAAGAACAAAUGUGUAAGUAACUAUGCACGUCUUGACGGUACCUAAACAAAAAGCCACGGCUAACUACGUG
RNAcentral lists this ribosomal RNA (497 nucleotides) under uncultured bacterium. RNAcentral describes it as "partial 16S ribosomal RNA". It matches the Rfam family "Bacterial small subunit ribosomal RNA", at positions 28 to 507 of the family's 1533-position model. The record is from RNAcentral.